GGGACAUUGAUCUAGUGGUAUGAUUCUCGCUUAGGGUGCGAGAGGUCCCGUGUUCAAUUCGCGAAUGUCCCC
Molecule: transfer RNA, 72 nt
Filed under: Coccomyxa subellipsoidea C-169
Lineage: Eukaryota; Viridiplantae; Chlorophyta; Trebouxiophyceae; Coccomyxaceae
Description: tRNA-Pro
Source: RNAcentral